ACUUGAAUUAAUCUAAAUCAAAAGAGUAAAUAAAACCUCAAGGCAAACCAGACUGUGGCAGGCCUUUGACAUGAAAUUUUGAGCUCGAGUGAUAAAAGAUUGGCAAAGAUUCCAGCAAGUCUUGGCAUCAGGGCAGAGCUGCAGCACCAACUCUGAGAGCCACGUUUGACUGCUGGAAUGACCUCAUAGUGUUCUGCAGCCAAAGAAAGUGAGAUGAGACAGGGAUAUUAAAGAUCCCCAAAAAUAUGGAAUAACCCCUUCAAGGCUCUUCUGUGCUCCCCUCGGGACAAGAAAACACUGCUUGGUUCAGCUUUGCAUCAGCACAACUCUUCCUUCAGCACAUCCUUUGGGACAGAUUGGAUACUUAGUUUGGAUUUGUUAACAUUGCUGGUCAUAAAAAUGUCUGCUUCAAAGAAACUGAUAGAUACUGUCCUUAGGAAAUUGGGCUUUGAUGCCUUAUUUGAUUUCCAUGGCAAAGUAAGUUCAUGCUUUCUUUUUUGGAAAAAUGAGGUACUGUACAGAGCAAGCUGA
Molecule: long non-coding RNA, 531 nt
Organism: Parus major (Great Tit)
Lineage: Eukaryota; Metazoa; Chordata; Aves; Passeriformes; Paridae
Source: Ensembl